GAAAGGACAGUGACUGUGAUAGAGGAUGUCACAAUUCAGAUUACCACAUUUUUCCUGACACGCCAACAGACCCGCCGUAUACACGAAAAUUUUUCAUGUAUACGAAGCGAUAGCUAUACAUGUAAAUGGAAUAUAGCUACACAAGAGGUAAAGAGUUGCUAUAAUAAAUAUGUAUAUAUAAAACAUAAAGGGUCCACUGUAUAUACAGAAACCACGGAACCAACUCGCUCCAGCGAAUACAACAAUAUAACAGUAUGUACAUAAAAUCUCAAAACUACCUCUGAUGGGUGCCCCUCUAGCAAAAGACCAGGGAUGGAAGGGAUCUAACCAGCGACUCUCUUACGACGGUCGCAAUCAGCAACAGCAGCAGCCGUAGGCGAAGGCUCUGCAAAAACAUAGCAACAAUUAGGUGUGAGAACUACUGCCAACCAGAGUAGUCCUUAGUGAGUACCGUCACCGACUCCAACCGCCUACCUACUAAGUCUACAGUAAAGUAUGCAAAGGAUAGUAAGAAAAGCUGAAAAGAAUUCUACAACUACAUGUAACUAUACUAUUGCUAACAAACACAUGCUAUCUGUAGACAUAGACAUGCAUCACACUGACCCAAUCUCACAAGGGCUGCCCAAACGAACCCAC
RNAcentral lists this long non-coding RNA (636 nucleotides) under Ananas comosus (pineapple). Its description in RNAcentral is "long non-coding RNA (ACOM_LNC034270)". Lineage: Eukaryota; Viridiplantae; Streptophyta; Magnoliopsida; Poales; Bromeliaceae. The record is from RNAcentral.